GACGAACGCUGGCGGCGUGCUUAACACAUGCAAGUCGAACGGAAAGGCCCUGCUUGCAGGGUACUCGAGUGGCGAACGGGUGAGUAACACGUGGGUGAUCUGCCCUGCACUUCGGGAUAAGCCUGGGAAACUGGGUCUAAUACCGGAUAGGAGCCAUUCUUAGUGUGAGGGUUGGAAAGUUUUUUCGGUGUGGGAUGAGUUCGCGGCCUAUCAGCUUGUUGGUGGGGGAAUGGCCUUCCAAGGCGGCGACGGGUAGGCGGCCUGGGGGGGUGGACGGCCACCAUUGGGAUGGGAUACGGCCCCGGCUCCUACGGGGGGGCGGCGGGGGGAAUAUUGCCCAAUGGGGGCGAGCCUGAUGCAGCGAACCCGGGUUGGGGGUUACGGCCUUCGGGUUGUAAACUCCUUUCGGUAGGGACGAAGCUUUUUGUGACGGUACCUAGAUAAGAAGCACCGGCUAACUACGUG
This 465-nucleotide ribosomal RNA is filed under the name uncultured bacterium. Its description in RNAcentral is "partial 16S ribosomal RNA". It matches the Rfam family "Bacterial small subunit ribosomal RNA", at positions 28 to 507 of the family's 1533-position model. The record is from RNAcentral.